AAGCAAGUUACGGCCAUUUUGUA
RNAcentral lists this non-coding RNA (23 nucleotides) under Cricetulus griseus (Chinese hamster). The record is from RNAcentral. Lineage: Eukaryota; Metazoa; Chordata; Mammalia; Rodentia; Cricetidae.